ACGAGUUUAGUAGAGCUAAAUGAGUAAGCGAGAGCCGAAGGAGAGGAAAGAAGCAAGCGAUUGUCACAAGUCAAGAAAGGUUCUUAGCGACGAUGGUAGCCAACUUACGUUCCGCUAGAGUAGAACGUUGCCAGGCAGUUUUAAAUCGGAGAAUUAGCUCAGCUGGGAGAGCAUCUGCCUUACUAAUCCUGUAGUCGAAAAUGUUGUCUCUCUUGAGUGGAUCCUGAGUACGACGGAGCACGUGAAAUUCCGUCGGAAUCUGGGAGGACCAUCUCCUAAGGCUAAAUACUCUCUAGUGACCGAUAGUGAACCAGUACCGUGAGGGAAAGGUGAAAAGCACCCCGGAAGGGGAGUGAAAUAGAACCUGAAACCGUGUGCUUACAAGUAGUCAGAGCCCGUUAAUGGGUGAUGGCGUGCCUUUUGUAGAAUGAACCGGCGAGUUACGAUUUGAUGCAAGGUUAAGCAGUAAAUGUGGAGCCGUAGCGAAAGCGAGUCUGAAUAGGGCGUUUAGUAUUUGGUCGUAGACCCGAAACCAGGUGAUCUACCCUUGGUCAGGUUGAAGUUCAGGUAACACUGAAUGGAGGACCGAACCGACUUACGUUGAAAAGUGAGCGGAUGAACUGAGGGUAGCGGAGAAAUUCCAAUCGAACCUGGAGAUAGCUGGUUCUCUCCGAAAUAGCUUUAGGGCUAGCCUCAAGUGAUGAUUAUUGGAGGUAGAGCACUGUUUGGACGAGGGGCCCCUCUCGGGUUACCGAAUUCAGACAAACUCCGAAUGCCAAUUAAUUUAACUUGGGAGUCAGAACAUGGGUGAUAAGGUCCGUGUUCGAAAGGGAAACAGCCCAGACCACCAGCUAAGGUCCCAAAAUAUAUGUUAAGUGGAAAAGGAUGUGGCGUUGCCCAGACAACUAGGAUGUUGGCUUAGAAGCAGCCAUCAUUUAAAGAGUGCGUAAUAGCUCACUAGUCGAGUGACACUGCGCCGAAAAUGUACCGGGGCUAAACAUAUUACCGAAGCUGUGGAUUGUCCUUUGGACAAUGGUAGGAGAGCGUUCUAAGGGCGUUGAAGCAUGAUCGUAAGGACAUGUGGAGCGCUUAGAAGUGAGAAUGCCGGUGUGAGUAGCGAAAGACGGGUGAGAAUCCCGUCCACCGAUUGACUAAGGUUUCCAGAGGAAGGCUCGUCCGCUCUGGGUUAGUCGGGUCCUAAGCUGAGGCCGACAGGCGUAGGCGAUGGAUAACAGGUUGAUAUUCCUGUACCACCUAUAAUCGUUUUAAUCGAUGGGGGGACGCAGUAGGAUAGGCGAAGCGUGCGAUUGGAUUGCACGUCUAAGCAGUAAGGCUGAGUAUUAGGCAAAUCCGGUACUCGUUAAGGCUGAGCUGUGAUGGGGAGAAGACAUUGAGUCUUCGAGUCGUUGAUUUCACACUGCCGAGAAAAGCCUCUAGAUAGAAAAUAGGUGCCCGUACCGCAAACCGACACAGGUAGUCAAGAUGAGAAUUCUAAGGUGAGCGAGCGAACUCUCGUUAAGGAACUCGGCAAAAUGACCCCGUAACUUCGGGAGAAGGGGUGCUCUUUAGGGUUAACGCCCAGAAGAGCCGCAGUGAAUAGGCCCAAGCGACUGUUUAUCAAAAACACAGGUCUCUGCUAAACCGUAAGGUGAUGUAUAGGGGCUGACGCCUGCCCGGUGCUGGAAGGUUAAGAGGAGUGGUUAGCUUCUGCGAAGCUACGAAUCGAAGCCCCAGUAAACGGCGGCCGUAACUAUAACGGUCCUAAGGUAGCGAAAUUCCUUGUCGGGUAAGUUCCGACCCGCACGAAAGGCGUAACGAUUUGGGCACUGUCUCAACGAGAGACUCGGUGAAAUCAUAGUACCUGUGAAGAUGCAGGUUACCCGCGACAGGACGGAAAGACCCCGUGGAGCUUUACUGUAGCCUGAUAUUGAAAUUCGGCACAGCUUGUACAGGAUAGGUAGGAGCCUUUGAAACGUGAGCGCUAGCUUACGUGGAGGCGCUGGUGGGAUACUACCCUAGCUGUGUUGGCUUUCUAACCCGCACCACUUAUCGUGGUGGGAGACAGUGUCAAGCGGGCAGUUUGACUGGGGCGGUCGCCUCCUAAAAGGUAACGGAGGCGCUCAAAGGUUCCCUCAGAAUGGUUGGAAAUCAUUCAUAGAGUGUAAA
This 2166-nucleotide ribosomal RNA is filed under the name Staphylococcus aureus M0374. RNAcentral describes it as "bacterial LSU rRNA". It matches the Rfam family "Bacterial large subunit ribosomal RNA", at positions 181 to 2355 of the family's 2925-position model. The record is from RNAcentral. Lineage: Bacteria; Bacillati; Bacillota; Bacilli; Caryophanales; Staphylococcaceae.